This 221-nucleotide non-coding RNA is filed under the name Nomascus leucogenys (northern white-cheeked gibbon). Lineage: Eukaryota; Metazoa; Chordata; Mammalia; Primates; Hylobatidae. The record is from RNAcentral.
AAAACGGCCAGCCUGAAGAGCUGCUGCGUGAGUUCGUUGCCUUUUCCGAGGGUGACUCCCGCGGUCCCUAAGGCUUUCCAGAGCGAACCUGUGCGGCUGCGGGCACCGCCGCGUUGAGUUUCCGGCGUUCCGAAGGACCGAGCUCUUGUCCCGGAUCCCGUCCUCCGUUUCCAGCCCCGAAUCUCAGAGCGGAGCCGACAGAGAGCAGGGCACCGGCAUGG